Molecule: long non-coding RNA, 1631 nt
Organism: Bombus impatiens (common eastern bumble bee)
Lineage: Eukaryota; Metazoa; Arthropoda; Insecta; Hymenoptera; Apidae
Exons: 3
Source: RefSeq, a predicted model, not a curated record
GAGUGCGCGCAAGCGCAACGACGCGCAACGCUGCGCUGUUCUGUGUUGCGCAGUCGCCACGGCGACCGUCAAGGACGUUCGCGCUCGGUGCGCCGCACCAAGCAUCCGACAGAGACAGAGAGCAACAGUUAGGAAUUACUCGAAUAGUUCGGGAUAUUUGUGUAAAAAUAAUUAUAUACUCGGUUGCAUUCUUUUUCGUCGAAAUAAUUCGAAAAGCUAGCCGAACGAUCCGACGUUUCCUCGUAAAAUGGUAAAUAGUUUCCAAGUAUAUGUGUAUUAUGUAAAACAGCCAAUGAGGUAAUUGAUCGACCGUAUGUUAGAGAAAUAGCGAUCGAAAUGAUCGAUACGUGUCUUCGAUUUCAUCAAAGGUAUGUAUUUCGAAAGUGACAGCACGUAUGGCGGAAAUUGUUGGGGUUAAUUGAUUCGAUUUUAAGCGAGUUUCGUGGGUUUGAUCUGAGCGUUGAAAGGUAAGGAUGGUAUGCUUUUAGGGAUAUUACGUAAACAUCUGGGAAAGAAGCGGUGUGACUAUGUUUUAGGAAGUAGAUAGCUGUGAAAGUUUUAGACCUUUCCCUGGGUUAUGUCCAUAGUGAUCGAUGUCGUUACAUCUGCCUAUGCGAAUAUACUCCGCAAUGUGUAAUAUACCGAUGUUAUAAGUUAAUAAGUCGCGUUAUUCGCGGUAUCUGCAAUGAAACAAAAACUUGUAGUAUCUCUUGGAAACAACUGUUAACCUUUCACAAGUUCCUAACCUUAAAUACCCUUCACGCGUUCUAUUAAAAAAUUCUCAAUAUGGUUUCUUGAUAGAGCAACAACACCAAAAAGGAGGGAUAUAAAAAUCGACGCGUAGGAGAGAGAGGAUGUGGCCAGAAUACUACAAGUGUAUACACGAGCGACAAAGAGAGCAAGUAUUAUCGAAUAAGCGGGUGUAAGAGAGAAACGAAGAGACAGAGAAAGCGAGGGUUGCCGGACAGAGACUAGACGCUAGGCCAGCGACUGAGAGAACGAGUAACGAGCGAGAUGGCGAAUGGUCGUACGUAGGUUAAAAGAAGACAGAUAGAGAGUGAAAGAGUGCCUUCUGUCUGCCGCACCCGCGAAUCGACGAAUUCGAGCCACUCGAUCGGCCUCGAGCGGCCUUGGAUGUAUCGCGGCCGGAGUGCAGGGCGGAGCGAGAUUGCUGUUCGCUUUCCAGGGUAUUUCCAUGGUACCUCUUGGAACAAGUUUCCAUCUCUUAACCAAAUGAGUCGAGCGUUUUCGCCAAUGAACGAUUGCCUCCCUCGCAUAUGAUGUGGUUUUGACGUUGAUUUUGGAAAACAUGGAAAAUACAGAAGAAAAUAUGGAAAGUGAUAUCUGAAACCCGUAGAUGCGGUGAAGGAUGCUCGGUGCUCGGCGGCCUUGAGGAAUUAAUUGAUUUUGGCCAGACCUAUAGCUUCUUCAACUUGAACGUACUAAAUUAACAAUAUAUUGCGCUGUAAACGUCAAAUUAAAAAUAUCCUAUAAAAAUGCAAAAAUACGUUUUAAUCCUUUUUCUCCUCUUUUUUAGACGAAGUUAACAAACGAGUAACAUUAUCAUUUUAAUUUUUCAGCAACUCAUUAAACUGUAAACGAACGUUCUAUGAAUAUGUAAAAGUACAUCG